AUGAAGUUCAGCAGGAUUGUGGGCAAGAACCUCAAGACUGAAUUCUAUGAGAGCAUCGACCGGCACAGUCCUCGUCUCCUCGAGUUAUUUGGAUCCAAGAGAGGGAAUGUUGGACAGUUGUUGACACAUAUUUUACAACAGACCAAUACUACAGAGCCAACUGAGUGUCAGAGGGCUUCCUAUCAUCCUUGGGGACAACCCCACAGACCUCUUCAAAGCAGGCUUUGAAUCUGACGAUGAGGAUUCUUUUUGUGACCCAGACAUUGGGAUACUUCUUAUUGAGCGUGAAGGUGCUGUGCUCACAUCCUCCCAGCAUCUCAGUCCAGCCUCGUU
Gasterosteus aculeatus aculeatus (three-spined stickleback) is the source of this 333-nucleotide non-coding RNA. The record is from RefSeq and is a predicted model, not a curated record. NCBI's taxonomy places the organism in Eukaryota, Metazoa, Chordata, Actinopteri, Perciformes, Gasterosteidae.